UGGAGUCACAAUAGAAUACUUUUAUCUUUUGUCUCUAAAUGUGCAAGGACCUUUUUCUCAGGUUCCACGUGCCUUGUUCUUAAGGAGUGACUCACUAUGGCCUAAAAAGCAAUGGAAAUCUUCCCAACUGGGGAAAAGUGUGUGGAAGUGGAUCAAAGGCCCAGGUGAGCCUCUGUGACUGAAAUCUUCUGCAAUGAGGGACUGGAGGAGACCUCCGUUCAAGGCACACAGCAAGUGAUUCUCAGGGAGUUUCCCCUUAUCCCGGCUCCAUUGGGACCAGCCACAACUUCCUUGGAGUAUGGUAAAGCUACAUGCUGAAGAAAAAAUUAGUCCUCAUGAAGUUGUGUAUGGAAGACCACUUCAGGUUCAUGGCACAGGUGGUACUAACACCUCUGGAAGUCACAAUACAUCUGUCCAAACUGAUGAGUGGAUGUAUCUAUGGACUCGGAGCUCUGAAGCACUACAGGAGAAGUGGAAAGGACUGUAUCAAAUACUACUGACAACAGAAGCUGCUACCAAGGUGUUAGGAGUAGACUCUUGAAUUCAUUACACAAGAAUAAAAAGCACCUAGCCCACA
Molecule: long non-coding RNA, 577 nt
Filed under: Phasianus colchicus (ring-necked pheasant)
Lineage: Eukaryota; Metazoa; Chordata; Aves; Galliformes; Phasianidae
Description: lncRNA (ENSPCLG00000022059.1)
Source: RNAcentral